This 395-nucleotide ribosomal RNA is filed under the name uncultured bacterium. RNAcentral describes it as "partial 16S ribosomal RNA". It matches the Rfam family "Bacterial small subunit ribosomal RNA", at positions 523 to 918 of the family's 1533-position model. The record is from RNAcentral.
AUACGUAGGGGGCGAGCGUUGUCCGGAAUGACUGGGCGUAAAGGGCGUGUAGGCGGCGGUGUAAGUCUGGAGUGAAAGUCCCGCAUUCAAUGUGGGAAUUGCUUUGGAUACUGCAGUGCUAGAGUGCGGAAGAGGUAAGUGGAAUUCCCAGUGUAGCGGUGAAAUGCGUAGAGAUUGGGAGGAACACCAGUGGCGAAGGCGACUUACUGGGCCGUAACUGACGCUCAUGUGCGAAAGCUAGGGUAGCGAACGGGAUUAGAUACCCCGGUAGUCCUAGCCGUAAACGAUGGAUACUAGGUGUGGGUGUCGCAGGGCAUCCGUGCCGCAGCUAACGCGUUAAGUAUCCCGCCUGGGGACUACGGUCGCAAGACUGAAACUCAAAUGAAUUGGCGGGG